This 238-nucleotide long non-coding RNA is filed under the name Homo sapiens (human). Its description in RNAcentral is "LNC_000658". Lineage: Eukaryota; Metazoa; Chordata; Mammalia; Primates; Hominidae. The record is from RNAcentral.
GGUUGUUAUAGCGAGUUUUCCCUGUGUGCUUUUGUGCUCUCACAGAUGCCUGCUUCCCUUUUGUGCUCUUACAGAUGCCUGCUUCCCUUUCGCUUCUCUGCUAUGUUAUGACACAGCAAGAGGCCCUCAUCAGGAGCUAACCAGAUUUGGCCACCAGUCUUGGACUUCCCAACCUCCUGAACUGGACAUUUGACUGGUAAGGGAAGAACGCCUCAAGUGAGCAUGCAUACACCUCCAG